GACGAACGCUGGCGGCGUGCUUAACACAUGCAAGUCGAACGGAAAGGCCCCUUUGGGGGUACUCGAGUGGCGAACGGGUGAGUAACACGUGAGUAACCUUCCCUUGACUUCGGGAUAACUUCAGGAAACUGGGGCUAAUACCGGAUAGGAAUCCUUUCUUCAUGGUGGGGGUUGGAAAGCUUCGGCGGUUUUGGAUGGACUCGCGGCUUAUCAGCUUGUUGGUGGGGUAGUGGCUUACCAAGGCUUUGACGGGUAGCCGGCCUGAGAGGGCGACCGGCCACAUUGGGACUGAGAUACGGCCCAGACUCCUACGGGAGGCAGCAGUGGGGAAUAUUGCACAAUGGGCGGAAGCCUGAUGCAGCAACGCCGCGUGCGGGAUGACGGCCUUAGGGUUGUAAAACGCUUUCAGCAGGGGCGAAGCUUGUGGUGACGGUACCUGCAGAAGAAGCAACGGCUAACUACGUG
Molecule: ribosomal RNA, 465 nt
Filed under: uncultured bacterium
Lineage: Bacteria
Description: partial 16S ribosomal RNA
Rfam family: Bacterial small subunit ribosomal RNA
Source: RNAcentral